RNAcentral lists this ribosomal RNA (253 nucleotides) under uncultured bacterium. RNAcentral's name for it is "partial 16S ribosomal RNA". It matches the Rfam family "Bacterial small subunit ribosomal RNA", at positions 524 to 776 of the family's 1533-position model. The record is from RNAcentral.
UACAGAGGUCUCAAGCGUUGUUCGGAUUCAUUGGGCGUAAAGGGUGCGUAGGUGGCGGGGUAAGUCUGGUGUGAAAUCUCGGGGCUCAACCCCGAAACUGCACUGGAUACUGCCUUGCUCGAGUACUGGAGAGGAGAUUGGAAUUUACGGUGUAGCGGUGAAAUGCGUAGAUAUCGUAAGGAAGACCAGUGGCGAAGGCGGGUCUCUGGACAGUUCCUGACGCUGAGGCACGAAGGUCAGGGGAGCAAACGGG